UACGUAGGGUGCAAGCGUUAAUCGGAAUUACUGGGCGUAAAGCGUGCGCAGGCGGUGAUGUAAGACAGAUGUGAAAUCCCCGGGCUCAACCUGGGAACUGCAUUUGUGACUGCAUCGCUGGAGUGCGGCAGAGGAGACUGGAAUUCCUGGUGUAGCAGUGAAAUGCGUAGAUAUCAGGAGGAAUACCGAUGGCGAAGGCAGGUCUCUGGGCUGACACUGACGCUCAUGCACGAAAGCGUGGGGAGCAAACAGG
This 253-nucleotide ribosomal RNA is filed under the name uncultured bacterium. Its description in RNAcentral is "partial 16S ribosomal RNA". It matches the Rfam family "Bacterial small subunit ribosomal RNA", at positions 524 to 776 of the family's 1533-position model. The record is from RNAcentral.